Molecule: small nucleolar RNA, 124 nt
Filed under: Naumovozyma dairenensis CBS 421
Lineage: Eukaryota; Fungi; Ascomycota; Saccharomycetes; Saccharomycetales; Saccharomycetaceae
Description: Small nucleolar RNA SNORD14
Rfam family: Small nucleolar RNA SNORD14
About the family: U14 small nucleolar RNA (U14 snoRNA) is required for early cleavages of eukaryotic precursor rRNAs. In yeasts, this molecule possess a stem-loop region (known as the Y-domain) which is essential for function.
Source: Rfam by way of RNAcentral
UCACAGUGAUGAAAGUGUGUACCUUUACAUUCGCAGUUUCCACGGUAGGAGUACGCUUAAGAACCCAUCUUUAGUACCCUCAGUGACCGCUCUUAAUUGAGACCUUCCUAGGAUGUCUGAGUGA